GUGGGGAAUAUUGGGCAAUGGGCGAAAGCCUGACCCAGCAACGCCGCGUGAGGGAAGAAGGUUUUCGGAUUGUAAACCUCUGUCCUUGGUGACGAAGGAAGUGACGGUAACCAAGGAGGAAGCCCCGGCUAACUACGUGCCAGCAGUCGCGGUAAUACGUAGGGGGCAAGCGUUGUCCGGAAUGACUGGGCGUAAAGGGCGUGUAGGCGGCCGAUUAAGUCUGGAGUGAAAGUCCUGCUUUCAAGGUGGGAAUUGCUUUGGAGACUGGUUGGCUUGAGUGCGGAAGAGGUAAGUGGAAUUCCCAGUGUAGCGGUGAAAUGCGUAGAGAUUGGGAGGAACACCAGUGGCGAAGGCGACUUACUGGGCCGUAACUGACGCUGAGGCGCGAAAGCGUGGGGAGCGAACAGGAUUAGAAACCCGAGUAGUCC
RNAcentral lists this ribosomal RNA (428 nucleotides) under uncultured bacterium. RNAcentral's name for it is "partial 16S ribosomal RNA". It matches the Rfam family "Bacterial small subunit ribosomal RNA", at positions 354 to 796 of the family's 1533-position model. The record is from RNAcentral.